Molecule: ribosomal RNA, 393 nt
Filed under: uncultured bacterium
Lineage: Bacteria
Description: partial 16S ribosomal RNA
Rfam family: Bacterial small subunit ribosomal RNA
Source: RNAcentral
AUACGGAGGAUGCGAGCGUUAUCCGGAUUUAUUGGGUUUAAAGGGUGCGUAGGCUGUGCGUUAAGUCAGGGGUGAAAUGCCGUCGCUCAACGACGGAGCUGCCCUUGAUACUGGCGUGCUGGAGUACGGAUGCCGUUGGAGGAAUGAGUGGUGUAGCGGUGAAAUGCUUAGAUAUCACUCAGAACACCGAUUGCGAAGGCAUCGAACGAAUCCGUCACUGACGCUGAGGCACGAAAGCGUGGGGAUAGAACAGGAUUAGAUACCCUGGUAUUCCACGCCGUAAACGAUGAUGACUAACCGUCGGCGAUAGACAGCCGGUGGCCAAGCGAAAGCGAUAAGUCAUCCACCUGGGGAGUACGUCGGCAACGAUGAAACUCAAAUGAAUUGACGGGG